CUGGCUCAGGAUGAACGCUGGCGGCAGGCUUAACACAUGCAAGGUCAGGGGCAUCGGGAGUAGCAAUACUUGCCGGCGACCGGCGCAAGGGUGCGUAACGCGUGAGCAACAUGCCCGUAUCAGGGGGAUAAUCCAUGGAAACGUGGUCUAAUACCCCAUAGUAAUUAUGUAAGGCAUCUUAUAUAAUUUAAAGCUUUGGUGGAUACGGAUUGGCUCGCGUGACAUUAGCUGGAUGGUAAGGUAACGGCUUACCAUGGCUACGAUGUCUAGGGGUUCUGAGAGGAAGGUCCCCCACACUGGAACUGAGACACGGUCCAGACUCCUACGGGAGGCAGCAGUGAGGAAUAUUGGACAAUGGAUGGAAAUCUGAUCCAGCCAUGCCGCGUGCAGGAAGACGGCCCUAUGGGUUGUAAACUGCUUUUGUAUGGGAGCAAUAAGGGCUACGUGUAGUCCGAUGAGAGUACCAUACGAAUAAGCACCGGCUAACUCCGUGCCAGCCGCCGC
RNAcentral lists this ribosomal RNA (504 nucleotides) under uncultured bacterium. Its description in RNAcentral is "bacterial SSU rRNA". It matches the Rfam family "Bacterial small subunit ribosomal RNA", at positions 19 to 518 of the family's 1533-position model. The record is from RNAcentral.